Molecule: long non-coding RNA, 1650 nt
Filed under: Prunus dulcis (almond)
Lineage: Eukaryota; Viridiplantae; Streptophyta; Magnoliopsida; Rosales; Rosaceae
Description: sRNA ncRNA
Source: RNAcentral
CUUUUCUUUUUCUUUUCUUUUUUUUUUUUGGGGGUCAGGAAGAUCAAAUCUUCAUUAGAAACAGAACCUCCCAAGUAAAACACAGGGAAGGUAAAGAGAUACAAAAGCCAAAUUAGCAACCAAGUAAGGAAGCUCCUAGGAACAAACUAAUCUGUGAAGAUAUCACAUGAACAAGAACAACGAGAUUGUCCCAGAGAUAUCAACAGAUAAACAAAAGAAAAUUCCACAACUAAAAGCAGUAAAACAUCGUACAACACCAAAUUGAAAACCAAAAAAAUUACAGAAAAAACAGAACCACACCACAGAUCUACCACAAAAGCCAGCAACUCUCAAAGCUGUCCAAAGGCACAAGAUUUGGAACCAAGGAGCAGGAAGGAGGUGGUGCAGGAACCCGAGCCGGAGCUUUGCUGCGGCUCUACACACCUUCCAAGGGGUACCGAGAGAUCGCGUUUUGGGUUGGCCGUUGUAUCCAGGUGGUGAAACCGGAUCGAAAGGGAAGUGGGGGGAUCUGGGUGUUGACCAUCAACAACCGAGAACUAACAUCUUCACCACCGGAAUCGUAGACACCAACGCACCAAGAGGAGACGGGCAAUCGAAUCGACGAUGGCCAUAGGACAGCUCUGAGAAGAAUGGAAUAGUGGAGAUGGGAGGGAUCUAACCAGGUAGCAGGCAUGAAGCCUCAGACCAAGGAGAACAAAACACCCACUAAAGGGGAGAGCAGACCACCCACAAAGGGGAGAGCAGAAACACCCACAAAGAAGGGGAGAACAGGGGCCGACAGUGUCCACAAGGAGAUUCACAAGCAGCAGGUAUCAGGAUACAGAAGAGAAAACCAGAGGAAAGGGGAGGAGGAGAGGACCUCCUUCCCUCCUCCUCCCCACCAAAAAAAAGGUAGCGCCGCGCAGAGAGGAGGGGUUUAGGGUUUUUUUACAGAGAAUAAGAAGGAUAACAGAAAGUUGGGUAGAUCAUCAUCAGGAGAGGACCUUCCCCCCCCCCCAAAAAAAAAAAUCAAAAAAUCCAUUUUAGUCGCUCCUCCUCUUCUAUUCGGCUUCCUACUUUGAUGAUACAUACAUGGGGAACUACGUUCCAUCAUUUUUUUUAACCCAUAAAUCGCACAAGAUUUACACAGGGAAGGAGGAGGAUCAAUAAAAACAAAUACAGAUAAUGGAAGUGAAAAAGCAAAAGAGCAUGAAUCAUGUCCGUACAAAUAAUUAAUAAAGUAAAUAUCCAGACACAAGGAAAACAAAAAUCUUGAAGAAUAUGCAUGCAAACUUUCACGUAGGUCAAAAUUUGCUCCCAGAUAACAAGAAUCGAUAUGAAAUUUGUCAACGGACCAUCAAAGAAUAAGUGUGGGAGUUUUGAGAGACAGAUCAAAAACUAAUUAACCGGAGGAAUGGAUAAGCAGGUUACUUACAAGACACAUCAAAAGCUAAGCAGACGCCAGCACCACCCUUGAGAGAGAGAGAGAGAGAGAGAGAGAGAGAGAGAGACCACUCUUGUCUAGUUAAAUAUAGCAUGGAUGGUGGAAACUUGAAGGUUAUAUAUAGCUAGGAAGGAAGCGUUUCGAAAGUCUUGUAGCGAAACAGAACUACUUCCACUCUCUCUCUCUCUCUCUCUCUCUCUCUAGCUUUGCUUAGUGGGAAACUUGAA